GACGAACGCUGGCGGCGUGCUUAACACAUGCAAGUCGAACGGAAAGGCCUCUUUCGGGGGGUACUCGAGUGGCGAACGGGUGAGUAACACGUGAGUAACCUGCCCUUGACUUUGGGAUAACUUCAGGCAACUGGGGCUAAUACCGGAUAGGAGCUCCUGCUGCAUGGUGGGGGUUGGAAAGUUUCGGCGGUUGGGGAUGGACUCGCGGCUUAUCAGCUUGUUGGUGGGGUAGUGGCUUACCAAGGCUUUGACGGGUAGCCGGCCUGGGAGCGUGACCGGCCACAUUGGGACUGAGAUACGGCCCAGACUCCUACGGGAGGCAGCAGUGGGGAAUAUUGCACAAUGGGUGGAAGCCUGAUGCAGCAACGCCGUGUGCGGGAUGACGGCCUUCGGGUUGUAAACCGCUUUCGCUCAUGACGAAGCUUUGUGUGACGGUAGUGGGUAAAGAAGCACCGGCUAACUACGU
Molecule: ribosomal RNA, 466 nt
Filed under: uncultured bacterium
Lineage: Bacteria
Description: partial 16S ribosomal RNA
Rfam family: Bacterial small subunit ribosomal RNA
Source: RNAcentral